RNAcentral lists this ribosomal RNA (512 nucleotides) under uncultured bacterium. RNAcentral's name for it is "bacterial SSU rRNA". It matches the Rfam family "Bacterial small subunit ribosomal RNA", at positions 90 to 636 of the family's 1533-position model. The record is from RNAcentral.
ACGGAGCGGCAGACGGGAGAGUAACACGUGGGAACGUGCCCUUCAGUUCGGAACAACCCAGGGAAACUUGGGCUAAUACCGGAUACGUCCGUAAGGAGAAAGAUUUAUCGCUGAAGGAUCGGCCCGCGUCUGAUUAGCUAGUUGGUGAGGUAACGGCUCACCAAGGCGACGAUCAGUAGCUGGUCUGAGAGGAUGAUCAGCCUCACUGGGACUGAGACACGGCCCAGACUCCUACGGGAGGCAGCAGUGGGGAAUAUUGGACAAUGGGCGCAAGCCUGAUCCAGCCAUGCCGCGUGGGUGAUGAAGGCCCUAGGGUUGUAAAGCCCUUUCGGCGGGGAAGAUAAUGACGGUACCCGCAGAAGAAGCCCCGGCUAACUUCGUGCCAGCAGCCGCGGUAAUACGAAGGGGGCUAGCGUUGCUCGGAAUCACUGGGCGUAAAGCGCACGUAGGCGGCUUUUUAAGUCAGGGGUGAAAUCCCUGGAGCUCAACUCCAGAACUGCCUUUGAUACUGA